Molecule: ribosomal RNA, 443 nt
Filed under: uncultured bacterium
Lineage: Bacteria
Description: bacterial SSU rRNA
Rfam family: Bacterial small subunit ribosomal RNA
Source: RNAcentral
CCUACGGGGGGCAGCAGUGGGGAAUAUUGCACAAUGGGGGAAACCCUGAUGCAGCGACGCCGCGUGAAGGAAGAAGGUUUUCGGAUCGUAAACUUCUAUCAGCAGGGAAGAAGAAAGUGACAGUACCUGACUAAGAAGCCCCGGCUAACUACGUGCCAGCAGCCGCGGUAAUACGUAGGGGGCAAGCGUUAUCCGGAAUCACUGGGUGUAAAGGGUGCGUAGGCGGUAGGGCAAGUCAGAUGUGAAAGCCCGGGGCUCAACCCCGGGAUUGCAUUUGAAGCUGUCUUACUAGAAGGCAGGAGGGGGAAGCAGAAUUCCUAGUGUAGCGGUGAAAUGCGUAGAUAUUAGGAAGAACACCAGUGGCGAAAGCGGGUUUCUGGACUGUGACUGACGCGGAGGCACGAAAGCGUGGGGAGCGAACAGGGUUAGAUUCACGGGUAGUG